UACGUAGGGGGCUAGCGUUGUCCGGAAUCAUUGGGCGUAAAGAGCUCGUAGGCGGCUUGUCGCGUCGACUGUGAAAACCCGUGGCUCAACUGCGGGCCUGCAGUCGAUACGGGCAGGCUAGAGUUCGGUAGGGGGAGACUGGAAUUCCUGGUGAGCGGUGAAAUGCGCAGAUAUCAGGAGGAACACCGGUGGCGAAGGCGGGUCUCUGGGCCGAUACUGACGCUGAGGAGCGAAAGCGUGGGGAGCGAACAGG
This 253-nucleotide ribosomal RNA is filed under the name uncultured bacterium. Its description in RNAcentral is "partial 16S ribosomal RNA". It matches the Rfam family "Bacterial small subunit ribosomal RNA", at positions 524 to 776 of the family's 1533-position model. The record is from RNAcentral.